GCAAAACGCGAAGAACCUUACCUGGGUUUGACAUGGCCGCAAAACUGUCAGAGAUGGCAGGUCCUUCGGGGGCGGUCACAGGUGGUGCAUGGCUGUCGUCAGCUCGUGUCGUGAGAUGUUGGGUUAAGUCCCGCAACGAGCGCAACCCUCGUUCGAUGUUGCCAGCGCGUUAUGGCGGGGACUCAUCGAAGACUGCCGGGGUCAACUCGGAGGAAGGUGGGGAUGACGUCAAGUCAUCAUGCCCCUUAUGUCCAGGGCUUCACGCAUGCUACAAUGGCCGGUACAAUGGGCUGCGAUACCGUGAGGUGGAGCGAAUCCCAAAAAGCCGGUCUCAGUUCGGAUCGGGGUCUGCAACUCGACCCCGUGAAGUCGGAGUCGCUAGUAAUCGCAGAUCAGCAACGCUGCGGUGAAUACGUUCCCGGGUCUUGUACACACCG
Molecule: ribosomal RNA, 437 nt
Filed under: uncultured bacterium
Lineage: Bacteria
Description: bacterial SSU rRNA
Rfam family: Bacterial small subunit ribosomal RNA
Source: RNAcentral